CUACAUAUUUUAAAUUUGAUAAAAUUGAAACGAUAUAAAGAAGAUUAGUAUGACUAUGCGCAAGGAUGAUGCACAAAAAUCGAAGAAUGAUUCAUUUAUUU
Molecule: small nuclear RNA, 101 nt
Organism: Vicia villosa (hairy vetch)
Lineage: Eukaryota; Viridiplantae; Streptophyta; Magnoliopsida; Fabales; Fabaceae
Source: RefSeq, a predicted model, not a curated record